GAUACUAGGGGAAACAAGUCAAAAAUGUGAGUCAUGCUUGCAUGAACGAGCAUUUUGACUUGGUGACCCGAACAAACAUUCGCAAGCAGCAAUUUCCUUACAUGUAAGGAAAUUAGCGGAUUGCGAAUGUUUGCAGGAUUGCGGGAGCA
Molecule: small RNA, 149 nt
Filed under: bovine gut metagenome
Description: Clostridiales-1 RNA
Rfam family: Clostridiales-1 RNA
Source: RNAcentral